This 301-nucleotide ribosomal RNA is filed under the name uncultured bacterium. RNAcentral describes it as "partial 16S ribosomal RNA". It matches the Rfam family "Bacterial small subunit ribosomal RNA", at positions 509 to 807 of the family's 1533-position model. The record is from RNAcentral.
CAGCAGCCGCGGUAAUACGAAGGGUGCAAGCGUUACUCGGAAUUACUGGGCGUAAAGCGCGCGUAGGUGGUGGUUUAAGUCCGUUGUGAAAGCCCUGGGCUCAACCUGGGAAUUGCAGUGGAUACUGGGUCACUAGAGUGUGGUAGAGGAUAGUGGAAUUUCCGGUGUAGCAGUGAAAUGCGUAGAGAUCGGAAGGAACAUCUGUGGCGAAGGCGACUAUCUGGGCCAACACUGACACUGAGGCACGAAAGCGUGGGGAGCAAACAGGAUUAGAUACCCCAGUAGUCCCUGUCUCUUAUAC